CACUGUGGUGUAUGGCUUGCACACCGUGGACACACAGAGGCCAAUGUGGGGUUAUUUAGAGGCUCUUGAUAGUUCUAUGAUUGAGACAUGGUGUGUGAUUGGUGACUUUAAUGCAGUCUUAUAUGCAGGGGUUAUAAUCAAUGGUAACCCUAUUACUGUAGGGGAAACUAGAGAUUUUGAGCAUCUGCUGGACUUUACUGAUCUGUUGGAGCUUAAAUCUAGUGGCUCUUACUUUUCAUGAAGCAACAAGGGGGAGGGUGACUGUAGAAUUGAAUCCAGAAUUGGCAGAUGUUUUGGUAAUUCAAGGUGGCUUGGCUAGUACACCACUGCUUCGGUGGAACACUUGACUCCAGGGCUCUCUGAUCACUCACCUCUAGUGAUUAGGUGUAACAUUGAGACUAGACAAGGGGGUAAACCUUUUAAAAUAAUAUAAGAAAAAGAACAUUAAAAAGAAAUACUACAUCUUAUAUAAUAAUUAAAAUGUCAUUGGCUAUUGUGAGGCCUCCAAAAUCCCAAUGAAGCAUUUCUAUACACUCCCUCCAAAACCAAUCAAUCCAAAAUUUAAAUGGAUUUUAAUUAUUAAAGAAAAAAAAACACAAAUCAAAACCCACGUAAUACACUACUCCUCCUCUCCACCUAAUAUCGUAUCAGUAACCUCCCAGUAAAAUAAGCUACUCUCUCCCGGCAAAAUAAACUAAUCCUCCUAUUUUCAUGGAACAUGAACAACAAUUACACCAUAACAAAUCAACCUCACGCCGCCGUUUCCCUUCAUUGUUGUACCCUGUUUCUCCUCACAACUAAGGUUUCUUAACUGUUGUUCGUUGCUUCAAUUCGUGCGGUGUUGUUUCUGCUCUUUGAAACUAGAGGUGCAUGUCUUUCUAAAGUUGGACGCAGUGGACUCUUUAUUGAUCCAAAUAUUGAUGAAACUGGAGAUAUUCAUGGAUGGUGAAAUACUUUUAAGUACUCAAGGAUACUAGAUAUUGAUUUUUCAGAGCCUCUUUGGUAUGAAUCAUAUGUUGGACACUCAAAGAGAAUCGAUCUAUGCUCGUAAUGUUUAUACACGGGCACAUUCUAAUACUU
Long non-coding RNA from Spinacia oleracea (spinach), 1080 nucleotides. RefSeq lists it as uncharacterized. NCBI's taxonomy places the organism in Eukaryota, Viridiplantae, Streptophyta, Magnoliopsida, Caryophyllales, Amaranthaceae. The transcript is spliced from 4 exons. The record is from RefSeq and is a predicted model, not a curated record.